CUCCACUUUCGUGAAAACCCAGAGAACCAGGGAAGAGAGAGUGGAUAUGAAGUACAAAAAGAUUGAGAUGAGAAUGUUGAAAAAUCAGUUUUCUUCAGAUAAGAAAUCAUUGUUGACGAAGAAGUUUCAUACCUUUCUCAUGCUGAUGAAGAUAUUGAUUCGGAUCACGAUGAGGGUAACUACAACAAGGCUGUAUUGGAUUUGGUUUCCUUAGCAUCAAAAAUACUAAGGAUGAAUUACAAAUUCACGUAUAUCUUCCUCCGAAUUCAAGCCAAUGAGAAGGUCAAAGAAAAUUUGAGAAGGAUGAUAGGAAUAGGUCAAAGAAACUUUGAGGUUUUGCAAUGAUUUUUAGGUUUGCACAACCAGGUAAUGAUCCAGACUUUUCCUGUUUUUUUCUUUUGUUUUUCGUUAUUUAUUUUUUAUUAUUGUUAUUAAUUUUGUGUGUGUUUCGUUAUGCCUUCUGUUUACUUUCUUUUGAUCGAGUCAAUAGUUAGGAGAGACUUAAUGUGGUAGGGAACAUAAAGUGUUAAAAGUGGUUCGAAAGAUACUCUGAAGAAAGGGUCUGAAGCUAAAUCUAAGGUAUAUGGUUGGUUCCUUUUUAGUCUCUUUUAAGUGGAAUGAUUGCAUCUUAGUUUCCUAUUUUUUCCUUCAAAAGUAGAAUAGAUAAACCAAAAUGCGAAAAAAUAUAUAUCUUGAUUUUAUGUUGGUUAUUGAAUAUGUGUUUUGAUUAGUUUCUUCACUGAAGAAAAUUAGGAUCAUCAACUAUAGCACAAUGUAGUCCAUAAGAAACCAGUGAAGGUAGGAUAGAUGUGUAUGUCGUGAGUUGGUUUAUUAUGAGAGUGACAAGUGAUGCAUGGAUUGGAAUUUCAAGAUGUGUGAGGUUUCUUUUAGAGUUUAGGGUCUAGGCGUCUAGCUUGAACCAUCAAAUUAGACAUGGUCUAUUGCAUACAUUGAUUCUAAUGUGAAAGUUUGUAUGCAUCUGAUUGUUUGAGUGCGGGUAAACAAUAUAUCAUAAUUGUCUGCCAACUUAAUUAAUGAUUAUAAGUAUGGUCAGCAACUGUCCCAACUUAAUGAUUAUAAAUAUGAUAAGCAAGUGCCGCAAACCGCUUACAUAAUGUUUGCAGGUUAGUUUGGGUUCCAGAGAAAGCCUCUUAUAUGCAAGUGUAAGCAACUUUAUAAAAGAGGAGGUUACCGGCUGUAGACAGAACUUUCCUAAACAUAAACAACUAAAAGACCUUUUUGCAUUUGAGGUUACUAUCUCAAGGUGUAGUUUAUGUUUUUUUUUACCCCUGGGUGGAGAUCAAGUCUGAUUAACGUUUCUACCAGCUCUUAUUCUUCGUCAUUGUUUUAAGUUCCGUAUGUUUCUUGGUCAUUAUAUGUUGGUUAGGUUCCGUAAUGUAAUUCUUGAUAGGCUUUGGUUCACUAAGUUUUUGUGUUUAUAUAAUAUCUUUUUGGCUUGAAAGUGGAAACUGAUUACUGACUGCAUUUUCUUUAGAUAAACAUUAAGCAAUCAUCCACAUUUUCAUAAAUUAAUCACUACGUACAGAAUUAUGGGUUGGAGCAAUUUAUCUCAACGCGGUGGUAUUUUUGACGUUUUUUUUCCUCCUCCUAGCUACAAUAGCUUUCGCUUACCAUCUCCAAAUUUUCCUGUUUAUUCCGUUCCUUAAUGAUUUCAUGACUGUUCGGUGUAUUGGAUUGCUUAAAGUUGUGUAGGGCGAAACUUAGUAAGGUUACAAAUAUACUUUGUACAAAAUAGAAAAAGGUUGCAAAGACGAAUGAAACUUGGUGGGAUGCUGCAGAGACUGGGUCAACUUGAUCACAUACAGCAGAGACAAAUUGAAAACUGUUGAUUGUGGUAGCAAUGGUGAUCAUGUUGGAUGAUACAAUUGGGAAUUCUAUUAGUUCAACUUCAAUUGAACACAAAAUUAGCUGCACCGACACGGCAUACACAUCCUACUUCGAUUAAGCAGGGGUAAGUUUCUAUCUUUUAUUUUAUCAUUUAGAUUUUUUAAGCUUCAAGUAAAUGAUUUCACAAUCAUAGGGUAGAUGCGAAAAAUUCCUUUAUGCGAAGGUUGGAUUCUCAAUGUAUCUUAUUUGUUGGUUGUAUUUCUACUUUGACCAAUCAAUUAAAUGUAGGUUGGCCAAGUAUAUGAAAUAUAUAAUAUUUCUUAAUAUCAUAAAUAUGUGUGUUUUGGUAUGAUGGGAGAUGGCUCUUACAGAAGAAAUUAGGAUCAACAGCAAGGCAUUCGUAUACAAAUAUCGACUACGGAAACAUUAGAGGACGCUAGAGUUAUAUCUGACGAAAAUGUUCAGAUCGUAAGAGCUAUCAUGGAAUCUGAAGAAGGAUGCAACGACAUAUGAGCCGAACUCGGAAUCAAUAGGGAAAAUUAGUCAUCAUAAAAGUAAAAAAACUAACGGAAGAAACAUGAAUAUAUACAGAGUUGUUUAUUUAUUUAUUUUUCGCGGCAUGUAUCAACAUUUUUUUCUAAAUCAAAAUCGACCAUUAUCA
Long non-coding RNA from Papaver somniferum (opium poppy), 2509 nucleotides. RefSeq lists it as uncharacterized. The record is from RefSeq and is a predicted model, not a curated record. NCBI's taxonomy places the organism in Eukaryota, Viridiplantae, Streptophyta, Magnoliopsida, Ranunculales, Papaveraceae. The transcript has 5 exons.